Molecule: long non-coding RNA, 723 nt
Organism: Pseudophryne corroboree (corroboree frog)
Lineage: Eukaryota; Metazoa; Chordata; Amphibia; Anura; Myobatrachidae
Exons: 2
Source: RefSeq, a predicted model, not a curated record
CCUGACUUAGACUCGCUAUGUGUCAGGAAUCAGCGUUCAGUGGUAUCUCACUUACCAGCGUGCUGGUGUGCAGGCCUUCCGGAGGUCACGGCCCCAGUUUGCUGCUGCAUGAAUGCCCUGUUCGGAGCGCAGUACCCAUUGUCACUGUGUACCCCUGAAGUCCAUCCAGCGUGUACCCCGCUGUGUGCCCGCCAUCUGUACAGCAUGGGUGCCGCCAUGACGCUUACGGUCAGCUGAUCUGCAACACCCAAUCCUGCGCUGUGUCUGCACACAUGAUUCAAGCAUCCAAAGCCUGCUGACCAUGGGGUAUAAGUUCAGAACAUCGGCUCAGUCUCAUCGCCUUGAACAACGCAUCACAUCCAGUGCACAGCAUCUCCUGGAUCCAGUCUCCUGUCUCCGGUGAUCUCCUAGCUCCAGUUUUUCCGUGGAACUAAAGGCACCAGCCAUCCAGUCCUGCUACAAUUCCUUUCACAGUCUGCUUCCACUUCUACAUGCAGGAUGAGACUCCCCAGGCUGGCCAUCGAUGUUCAUCAUCGGCUUCCAGGCCGAUCAUCACAGUUGGCUAAUCACACUUGUUUCCAGACCAGCCCAUUACCUGUGACUGUUAUUAUACCUCAGUCAGCUUCCCCGCUGAGAACCAUCUGUACUGACAUUUUCUCCAGUUGCUGUUUAUAUGUCUGUGUGCUAAAAUAAAACAUCAUUGCGCACAUGUGCAGGAACUUA